Molecule: unclassified non-coding RNA, 257 nt
Filed under: uncultured fungus
Lineage: Eukaryota; Fungi
Description: partial contains small subunit ribosomal RNA, internal transcribed spacer 1, and 5.8S ribosomal RNA
Rfam family: Eukaryotic small subunit ribosomal RNA (bases 1-73)
Source: RNAcentral
GCAAACUUGGUCAUUUAGAGGAAGUAAAAGUCGUAACAAGGUUUCCGUAGGUGAACCUGCGGAAGGAUCAUUACAAAUCAGUUGGGGGUCUUGGUGGGGGAGGUGAGGUCUGAAGAGGAGACUCUUUGGAUGAGCCUUUCCCCUCAAUGUGCCUCACAUUUACGCUUGAUGUGUUUGACAGAGUAACAGUGUAUCGGUUAAUGAUGACAACUUUUAACAAUGGAUCUCUUGGCUCUUGCAUCGAUGAAGAACGCAGC